AGAGUUUGAUCAUGGCUCAGGACGAACGCUGGCGGCGUGCUUAACACAUGCAAGUCGAGCGGAAAGGCCCCUUCGGGGGUACUCGAGCGGCGAACGGGUGAGUAACACGUGAGAAACCUGCCCUUAGCUCUGGGAUAGCUCCGGGAAACCGGGAUUAAUACCGGAUACGACCACGGUCGGCCUCGACCGUGGUGGAAAGGUUUAUCGGCUAGGGAUGGUCUCGCGGCCUAUCAGCUUGUUGGUGAGGUAACGGCUCACCAAGGCGACGACGGGUAGCCGGCCUGAGAGGGCGACCGGCCACACUGGGACUGAGACACGGCCCAGACUCCUACGGGAGGCAGCAGUGGGGAAUAUUGCGCAAUGGGCGAAAGCCUGACGCAGCAACGCCGCGUGGGGGAUGAAGGCCUUCGGGUUGUAAACCCCUUUCAGCAGGGACGAAGCGAAAGUGACGGUACCUGCAGAAGAAGCGCCGGCUAACUACGUGCCAGCAGCCGCGGUAAUACGUAGGGCGCAAGCGUUGUCCGGAAUCAUUGGGCGUAAAGAGCUCGUAGGUGGUCUGUUACGUCUGCUGUGAAAUCCUAGGGCUUAACCCUGGGCCUGCAGUGGAUACGGGCAGACUAGAGGUAGGUAGGGGAGAAUGGAAUUCCCGGUGUAGCGGUGAAAUGCGCAGAUAUCGGGAGGAACACCGGUGGCGAAGGCGGUUCUCUGGGCCUUACCUGACACUGAGGAGCGAAAGCGUGGGGAGCGAACAGGAUUAGAUACCCUAGUAGUCC
RNAcentral lists this ribosomal RNA (773 nucleotides) under uncultured bacterium. Its description in RNAcentral is "bacterial SSU rRNA". It matches the Rfam family "Bacterial small subunit ribosomal RNA", at positions 8 to 796 of the family's 1533-position model. The record is from RNAcentral.